UCCCAGACACAGGCCGCUCGCCCUCACGAUGGAGGUGGAAAACUGGAUGGGGCGAUGCCUCAUCCUCGGAAAGGCCGGGCUGGAGUUCUUCAAUAGAGUCGGCAAGGGUGUGGAGAUGGAGGAGGCCGUGCCGUCGUGGGCGGCGAUGUCCAUAGGCUGCUCGAGAGUCGAGACCCUCACCUGGCCGUGUCGUCCUCCAUGGGAUCCGUGGACGCCGCGAUGUCUCCUCCCGCCUAUUCCUCCGCUGUUCCAUGGCCGCCGCCUCCAUACGCCUCAAGCUCUGCGAUGGGACUAGAGCCAGGGUCGUGGGCGACAACGAUGUUGCGUCCAUCCCCGCUACUCCCCCUAUGAGUUAUGAUGGAGGUACCAGAUGCAUAUCAUUGAUGUUGAUCAUUCGUUGGUGACCUCCAAUGCCUGGUUGUAAGAGAGUUCCUCCUUGAAAAACGCACCAUAUCAUAGGCAUAAAGUCCAGUCCAAACACGCAAAUGGUGAAGCCUGAUCGUUAAUA
Long non-coding RNA from Lolium rigidum, 508 nucleotides. RefSeq lists it as uncharacterized. The record is from RefSeq and is a predicted model, not a curated record. Lineage: Eukaryota; Viridiplantae; Streptophyta; Magnoliopsida; Poales; Poaceae. The transcript has 3 exons.